RNAcentral lists this long non-coding RNA (1061 nucleotides) under Homo sapiens (human). Its description in RNAcentral is "HSALNT0382518". The record is from RNAcentral. Lineage: Eukaryota; Metazoa; Chordata; Mammalia; Primates; Hominidae.
ACAACAACCAAUAAGGCCGGUGCUUCUUGUAGUCUCGUUUUAUAGGUGAUGAAACUGAGGCUUACAGAGAGCAUGUGGCUGGCCUGAGCUUGCACAGCUGGGGAGUGGCUGAGCCAGGAUUUGAAGCAAGGCUGUGUGCUUCUGGCCAACUCACCCUUCUACCCCUUGCUGAAGGGAAUGAGUGAUGUCAUCUGCACUGUGGAGGUGUUGAGGGGAUGUGACUGAAUUGGGCACUGAGGACCACAAGGAAGCAAGGAGACGUGAAGACAGAAGAGAGGUUCUUGUGCAUACGUUUGAACAGGGAAAAGAUUGAAAUCAAAUGCCCGGAGGUUCCAAGGAAGAGUAAAAAUAGAAGCCAGAGUGGCAGAGGGAACCAUUAUGCAGUGUGUGGCCCUCAUUCACGAUGCUUACAGUAGCUGAUUUAUUAGAAGACAGAAAAGAAAAUUGAUUUAUAAAUGGUCUUGGGAAGGGGAAACGGAUGGAAUAAAUGAGCUGAGACUAGGAUAUGAGCUACACUAAGGGCUCCAUGUGCCUUCUCAAAAGAAUAAAAGAAUCAAGACACAGUCUCACUAUUUGGGAGGUGUUGAAGGAGAUGCAUACAGCUGGCAAGGCCAAGGGAAGAUGCUGCGCUAUCUCCUACCAGUCCACUCCAACCAGGAGCCAGGCUGGAGCUGAAAACCGCAAAGGGCAAGGUCAUCAUAGCUGCAAAGGUCACAGAUGUCAGCCCAAACUGAUACAGAAGGCAGUCAUCACAACUUCUACCACCGCUCUGACCAAACAAGCCUCCCAGGUGCUGGGAUCUACCAGAGGAAAGGAGAAGAGAGCCUGAGAUGGAAUUUUGAACUGGACUCCAGUGAGUUAAUUAUCCUGAACCCACUGAUCAAUCUCAAGAGUGGGCUGAAUAUUCUGAGAAUGGCUGCCUGAAGAUGUCUGCCAGAGGGUGGCUAGAGGGUCAGAGACAGAAAUUCAGGGCUAUUUUAGAAAUAAACACAAGUCUACUUAUUUUUGUCCAUGUCUAGGCCUAUUGAAAUAUUUUACCCCUUACAUAAGAUUCCCUUACU